ACUGCUUCUUCUGCCUGUUGGCCAAGAUCAAGAUGUAGUAUCUGCUCUUAUCAGUUUGAUAGCUGAUAUGUCCCCUAUAUAGGGACCAAAUAUUAAAUGGAUUUUUAAAACAGAGAGAUAGAAAAAGAUUUUGCUCUGCCCACUCCAUGCAUUGGCCUGGUAUUGCAGUACCUCCAGGGCUGGUGAACAAAAA
Molecule: small nuclear RNA, 193 nt
Organism: Spea bombifrons (plains spadefoot toad)
Lineage: Eukaryota; Metazoa; Chordata; Amphibia; Anura; Pelobatidae
Product: U2 spliceosomal RNA
Exons: 1
Source: RefSeq, a predicted model, not a curated record